UAAGUGUUUUAUGAUUUUUUCUUAAAAAUUUUGGUUUUGCUCUCCAAGUUUUUAAUUUAUUUUAUUUGAGUCAGUAAAUAAUAUUUUAACUUCAAAAUUUAAAUGAGUCAUCUAUUUUUUUAGGUUUAGUUAGUAUACUUUAUACCAUUCUCGCUAUUAUAAAUUUAGGUCAAUUUGCAUAAAAAAUGAACAAGUUUAGAGCUUUUGCAAAAUUGAGUCGCUUUUUUUUAUUUACAGAUUCGGUCCGAAAUUUCAACAAACUGACCAAAAUAUUUUUAUAUAUUUUUCUCUCUUUUUUUUUCUCUCGUUUUUUCUUUUUUUUUCUCCGAAGAAGGCGACAGAGGCGGAAACAGAAAUGGUCCGCCCCGCCUCACCUCUGCCCCUCACGGUCUCGCCCUCACCCUCGCCCUCGGCCUCGCCUUUACCCGCGCACCCCAGCCCUCCAACCUCACUGAAGCCGUGCUGCGACCAUUUUUUUUUUUCUCCAACCCUCCUCCACCACCGUCGCGGCUCUCCGCAACGAUAGCGAGGACGGUACCGCGUCCUCUUCCUCUGCCUUCGCCCUCCACUUCCACUACAGCAGAUUUUCUAUCCGCCAAACAAAUCCGUCGUCCCCACCGCCGCCGACAAAGAGGAAGUGCUUUUCGGGACCGAGAAGCACGCUGGCGAGGGAGGCGCAAAAAAAUGAUUACACUCCAGCGAGGACGGUGGCUGCGAUAGAGAUAAAGGGAGAAAAAGAAUGAAGAAAAAGAUGAAAUCGUACAAUUAAAAUAAUGUUAUACUAUUUUAAAAAAAAAAUUGUAUUGUUUUAAAUGAAAGUUGUACUCUUUGAGACUGAAAUUACACUCUUUGGAAUGAGAAUUACACUCUUUAGGUGAAAAUUGCACUCUUUGGGUGAAAUUUAGACCAUUUCUUUUUUUCUUCUUCCUCCUCCUCCUUCCCCUCCUUUCUCGGGGUUUGAUUUGACGUCACCAGCUGAGCGCAUGAACCGCACGUGACUAGCGCUAUUUCAAAAUCUCUGGCAUUGUUUUAUGGUUUAUUUUUAAAAGGGAAAACUUCAAAUACCACCUAUGUGGUUUCGUACUGUCUCACUUUGGUACUCUGUGGUUUAAAGUAUAUCACUUUCGUACCAUGUGAUUUUAUUUUUCUCUUUUUGUUAUCCCCACCAUUAAUUUUUUUUGUAACAAAGUUAAAACUAAAGGGUAUUAAAGUGAAUAUUCGAUAAACUAUAGGUAGGGUAUCUGAAGUUGUUUGUAUAUAAUUUAACAAAAAUUUAACGGAGAGACUGAUGAAAAGAGAAAAAGCCACAGAGUACUAAAUUGAUACACUUUAAACCACGGGGUACUAAAGUGAGAACGUGCGAAACCACAGAGGUGGUAUUUGAAAUUUUUCCUUCUUAAAAAUUUUGGUUUUACUAUCCAAAUUUUUAAUUUAUUUUACUUGAGUCAGUAAAUAAUAUUUUAACUUCAAAAUUUAAACGAGUCAUCUAUCUUUAUAGAUUUUGUCAGUAUACUUUGUACCAUUCUCGCUACUACAAAUUUAUUACAGUGCAAAAUUAGCUUAAAUGUUAACUUAAAUUAAAAAAAAUUGAAAUCACUUGUAUAACUCUGCGAUGUAAUCUAUGUGGUGUAUUAUCUUUUUAUAUAGAUAGGUAAAACAUUUUUCGAUCAUAUUUUCUCAUUGCAUAUAAUAUAUUCUUUUCAAUGUUAGAUCUCGAAUGAAAGAAAAUUUAAAUAUUACUGAAAGUCGAUAUUAUAAAUAUGACAUUUAAUACGUUGAGCGCAAAUAUUCUCUUCGGUUAGAUUUUUAUUUCUUUUUGGGAAAGAUAUUAUUUUGGCAUAGUCCACACUUAUACUUGCGUGCAUAAUGCGUCUUACAUGCAGUAAAAAAGUAUAAUAAAAAUAUAUUCACUUUAUUUUCAUAAACAAUAAAAUAUUUUAUAUGUAUUUACAACCGCAUUGCAGUUGUAGCUGCACUACAAUUAUAACUGCGUGCGUAUUCAAAUCUGGCGUUUGCUUUGAUACAUUUAAAUUCAAUUGUUGCAGUUGUAACUGCACAAGGAAGCUGAAUAGUUGAAACUAUGCCCAAAUUGGCUGUAGUUUUAACUGCAGUACUGCAGUAUUUCGAGAGUAAUUUUAAACAACGAUAAACUUACCUUUUUAAUAACCUUUUUAUAAUUUCUUUUUCCUUUCGUCCAUACAGAGUAAUCUCAUCAAUUCAUAUAUAAAAUGGUAAAAAUUCGUAAAUGCACUUUUCAUUUGUAUGUAACCAAACAAAAUAUUUAUAAACUAUAACGCUUUCUAUUACAUCUAAGCAAACAAAAUGUAUGGAAUUAUAAUUGUUGCAUUUUCAACUACACUGUAUUUAUAGUUACGUUGAACCAAAUUGCCCCUAAUUCGGUUAAAAUAUGAUUCAAAAACCAUAUUUAGGUUGGCCCAAUCUCGUCCAUACAAAGUAAUCUCACCAAUUCAUAUAUAAAAUGGUAUAAAUUGGUAAAUGCACUUUUCAGUCGUAUGUAACCAAACAAAAUAUUUAUAAAUUGUAACACUUUCUACUACAUCUAAGCAAACAAAAUGUAUGGAAUUAUAAUUGUUGCAUUUUCAACUACACUGUAUUUACAGUUACGUUGAACCAAAUUGCCCCUAAUUCGGUUAAAACACGAUUCAAAAACCGUAUUUAGGUUGGCCCAAUUUCGUCCAUACAGAGUAAUCUCACCAAUUCAUAUAUAAAAUGGUAUAAAUUGAUAAAUGCACUUUUCAGUCGUAUGUAACCAAACAAAAUAUUUAUAAACUGUAACGCUUUCUACUACAUCUAAGCAAACAAAAUGUAUGGAAUUAUAAUUGCUAUAUUUUUAACUACACUACAUUUACAGCUAUGUCGAACUAAAU
RNAcentral lists this long non-coding RNA (2888 nucleotides) under Ananas comosus (pineapple). RNAcentral describes it as "long non-coding RNA (ACOM_LNC030077)". Lineage: Eukaryota; Viridiplantae; Streptophyta; Magnoliopsida; Poales; Bromeliaceae. The record is from RNAcentral.